AACCCUUGUUCACCUGCACAUGGCUGAGUGUCCAGGGAUGGAGGGGCUGAGGAUCCAUUCCUUGUUCCGUCCCAGGUUCUGACUGACGUACUGAGGCUCAGCACCGUCCCAUGCCCCCAGUCUGGGUAUUAGAAAGCUGACCUCUGAGUCUUCUCCACAACCUUUAAUCAAACAGUCCCCACACAGCACAGAAAGUGUCAGGCACACGUUGAGGUCUCAGCGAGUGAUGGUGGCAGGUAAGAGGCCCUCCAAGCCCCAUCAGUCCUCUGUACUUGGGGUUCUAGAAUCCUCAGCUGUCCCAGUGUGACUGAGCUGACGUAACAAAAUGAGAAGGCCGGUCAGAAAUCCCAUCCGUAUUCCUGGUUAAACCAUGAGGCUGAUGAAAGUGAAUUCCAAGUCACAGAGACCCAGGUCCAGAGAGUUCAGUUCAUCCCAGUGAGGAAGGACUAAAUCGAGAAAAACCUCACAUCAAGAUCCUUCACUUGGCGCUAAGGGGGCAGCUCAGUCGGAGCCACUGGACAAAAAUGGUGGAAAGUGUCAGACCUCGAGAGACCCGGGGUGAAGAGAAAAAUUAAAUUCAAGAUCUGGUGGGCAUGGUGGCCAGCAAGCAUGUGUCAUUCCAGCCUUUGGGGAGGCUGAGGCAAGAAAGCGAUGAGGUUGAGACUACCCUGGGCUACCAAUUGAGGAGCACCUCACCUUUGAGUCUCCUUGUGGUCAUGAAUUACGUCUUCUGUGUUUCAAGGAUGAAGUACUCUUUGGCCACCUUAAGAAAAAUAGGGCUUUUGUAGGUUCAAUGAAGGAACUGGUGGCUGCUGAUGGCCAUGUUGUCACCAUGAGAGAAGUCAGUCAUCCUGAGGUUGAAGCCACAAAUGUAGAUGAUGGAAUGGAGAGUGACCUCUGAGCCCCUGAGUCAUUGAAAACAUUGUUGAACUGCCAAACAACCCAUUUCUGAAGCCUCUCUCCCUCUCUCCCUCUCUCUCUCUCUUCCCCACCCCUCUCUCUCUCUCAUCUCCUGACCCCAUUUUGUUAUGGAAUAAUCUUUUUGUGCACUGUGAAGAU
Peromyscus maniculatus bairdii (prairie deer mouse) is the source of this 1059-nucleotide non-coding RNA. The record is from RefSeq and is a predicted model, not a curated record. NCBI's taxonomy places the organism in Eukaryota, Metazoa, Chordata, Mammalia, Rodentia, Cricetidae.